Telopea speciosissima is the source of this 149-nucleotide long non-coding RNA. RefSeq lists it as uncharacterized. The transcript has 3 exons. The record is from RefSeq and is a predicted model, not a curated record. NCBI's taxonomy places the organism in Eukaryota, Viridiplantae, Streptophyta, Magnoliopsida, Proteales, Proteaceae.
UGUGAGCCUGUCAAACUAAUGGCCGAGUCACCAAAAUGGGUCAAGGAGCUGGGAGGGGUUUUAAAGCAAGGAUCUGGUUGAUAGAUGUGAUGUUUCUAUGGUCAUUCUGUGAAGCUUCAUUGCUGUAAGAUGUAAUGUUGGGUUUCCUA